Molecule: ribosomal RNA, 253 nt
Filed under: uncultured bacterium
Lineage: Bacteria
Description: partial 16S ribosomal RNA
Rfam family: Bacterial small subunit ribosomal RNA
Source: RNAcentral
UACGUAGGGUGCGAGCGUUGUCCGGAAUUAUUGGGCGUAAAGGGCUCGUAGGCGGUCUGUCGCGUCGGGUGUGAAAACUCAGGGCUUAACCCUGAGCCUGCUUCCGAUACGGGCAGACUAGAGGUAUGCAGGGGAGAACGGAAUUCCUGGUGUAGCGGUGAAAUGCGCAGAUAUCAGGAGGAACACCGGUGGCGAAGGCGGUUCUCUGGGCAUUACCUGACGCUGAGGAGCGAAAGUGUGGGGAGCGAACAGG